CGAACUCAGAAGUGAAACGCCGUAGCGCCGAUGGUAGUGUGGGGCUUCCCCAUGUGAGAGUAGGGAACUGCCAGGC
Molecule: ribosomal RNA, 76 nt
Filed under: Pectobacterium carotovorum
Lineage: Bacteria; Pseudomonadati; Pseudomonadota; Gammaproteobacteria; Enterobacterales; Pectobacteriaceae
Source: RNAcentral